Molecule: transfer RNA, 72 nt
Filed under: Phialocephala subalpina
Lineage: Eukaryota; Fungi; Ascomycota; Leotiomycetes; Helotiales; Mollisiaceae
Description: tRNA-Pro
Source: RNAcentral
CAGGUUAGGGUAGGAUUGGCAAUACGAUCGCUUUGGGUGCGAUAAGACCUUGUUCGAUUCAAGGUGACCUGA